Long non-coding RNA from Oncorhynchus tshawytscha (Chinook salmon), 540 nucleotides. NCBI's taxonomy places the organism in Eukaryota, Metazoa, Chordata, Actinopteri, Salmoniformes, Salmonidae. The record is from Ensembl.
GGGAAAGAGAGGUGGGGGAGAAAGAGGUGAGAACGGGGAAAGAGAGAUGGGGGAGAAAGAGAGAGACAGAGAAUGAGAGGUGGGGGGAGAAAGAGGUGAGAACGGGGAAAGAGAGAUGGGGAGAAAGAGGUGAGAUCAGGGAAAAAGAGGUGGGGGAGAAAGAGGUGAGAUCGGGUAAAGAGAGAUGCGGGAGAAAGAGGUGAGAAUGGGGAAAGAGAGAUAGGGAGAAAAAGGUGAGAACGAGGAAAGAGAGUUGGGGGAGAAAGAGGUGAGAUCGGGGAAAGAGAGAUGGGGAGAAAGAGGUGAGAACGAGGAAAGAGAGAUGGGGAGAAAGAGGUGAGAUCGGGGAAAGAGAGGUGGGUUGAGAAAGAGGUGAGAACGGGGAAAGAGAGAUGGGGAGAAAGAGGUGAGAUCGGGGAAAGAGAGGUGGGUUGAGAAAGAGGUGAGAACGGGGAAAUAGAGGUUGGGAGCUAGCGGUGAGAACGGGGAAAGAGAGAUGGGGGAGAAAGAGGUGAGAACGGGGAAAAGAGAGAUGGGGAG